GAUGAACGCUGGCGGCGUGCCUAAUACAUGCAAGUCGAGCGAACAGACGAGGAGCUUGCUCCUCUGACGUUAGCGGCGGACGGGUGAGUAACACGUGGAUAACCUACCUAUAAGACUGGGAUAACUUCGGGAAACCGGAGCUAAUACCGGAUAAAAUAUUGAACGGCAUGGUUCAAUAGUGAAAGACGGUUUUGCGGUCACUUAUAGAUGGAUCCGCGCCGCAUUAGCUAGUUGGUAAGGUAACGGCUUACCAAGGCAACGAUGCGUAGCCGACCUGAGAGGGUGAUCGGCCACACUGGAACUGAGACACGGUCCAGACUCCUACGGGAGGCAGCAGUAGGGAAUCUUCCGCAAUGGGCGAAAGCCUGACGGAGCAACGCCGCGUGAGUGAUGAAGGUCUUCGGAUCGUAAAACUCUGUUAUUAGGGAAGAACAAAUGUGUAAGUAACUAUGCACGUCUUGACGGUACCUAAUCAGAAAGCCACGGCUAACUACGUG
Molecule: ribosomal RNA, 497 nt
Filed under: uncultured bacterium
Lineage: Bacteria
Description: partial 16S ribosomal RNA
Rfam family: Bacterial small subunit ribosomal RNA
Source: RNAcentral